Molecule: ribosomal RNA, 596 nt
Filed under: uncultured bacterium
Lineage: Bacteria
Description: bacterial SSU rRNA
Rfam family: Bacterial small subunit ribosomal RNA
Source: RNAcentral
GCGAUGAUGGUUAACCGGCCUGAGAGGGUGUUCGGUCACACUGGAACUGAGAUACGGUCCAGACUCCUACGGGAGGCAGCAGUGAGGAAUAUUGCGCAAUGGGCGAAAGCCUGACGCAGCGACGCCGCGUGGAGGAUGAAGGUCUUCGGAUUGUAAACUUCUGUUAAGUGGGAAGAAAGGGCUGUUUUUAAUAGAAGCAGUUAAUGACGGUACCAUUAAAGAAAGCACCGGCUAAACUCGUGCCAGCAGCCGCGGUAAUACGAGUGGUGCAAGCGUUAUUCGGAAUAAUUGGGCGUACAGGGUGUGUAGGCGGUAUGUUAAGUCUGUUGUUAAAGACUCCGGCCUAACCGGAGACAGGCAGCGGAAACUGGCGUACUAGAGGGUGGAAGAGAGAAGUGGAAUUCUCGGUGUAGCGGUAAAAUGCGUAGAUAUCGAGAGGAACACCGAUGGCGAAGGCAGCUUCUUGGUCCAUACCUGACGCUGAAACACGAAAGCGUGGGGAGCAAACAGGAUUAGAUACCCUGGUAGUCCACGCUGUAAACGAUGAUCACUAGACGUUGGUUCUGUUUUACAGAAUCAGUGUCGCAGCUAACGCG